This 468-nucleotide ribosomal RNA is filed under the name uncultured bacterium. Its description in RNAcentral is "partial 16S ribosomal RNA". It matches the Rfam family "Bacterial small subunit ribosomal RNA", at positions 28 to 507 of the family's 1533-position model. The record is from RNAcentral.
GACGAACGCUGGCGGCGUGCUUAACACAUGCAAGUCGAACGGAAAGGCCCUGCUUUUGUGGGGUGCUCGAGUGGCGAACGGGUGAGUAACACGUGAGUAACCUGCCCUUGACUUUGGGAUAACUUCAGGAAACUGGGGCUAAUACCGGAUAGGAGCUCCUGCUGCAUGGUGGGGGUUGGAAAGUUUCGGCGGUUGGGGAUGGACUCGCGGCUUAUCAGCUUGUUGGUGGGGUAGUGGCUUACCAAGGCUUUGACGGGUAGCCGGCCUGAGAGGGUGACCGGCCACAUUGGGACUGAGAUACGGCCCAGACUCCAACGGGAGGCAGCAGUGGGGAAUAUUGCACAAUGGGCGGAAGCCUGAUGCAGCAACGCCGCGUGCGGGAUGACGGCCUUCGGGUUGUAAACCGCUUUCGCCUGUGACGAAGCGUGAAUGACGGUAAUGGGUAAAGAAGCACCGGCUAACUACGUG